AUUCCGUGAUGAGGGCACUUCUGUAAUAACUCUUUGUACCUUUCCCAUGCCUCAUACAAUGACUCAUCAUCCAUUUGUUGGAAAGCAGAGAUCUCGUUCCUCAACUU
Molecule: non-coding RNA, 107 nt
Organism: Gossypium raimondii (Peruvian cotton)
Lineage: Eukaryota; Viridiplantae; Streptophyta; Magnoliopsida; Malvales; Malvaceae
Source: Rfam